UACAGAGGGCGCGAGCGUUGUCCGGAAUCACUGGGCGUAAAGGGCGCGUAGGUGGCGGCAUAAGGCCGUGGUGAAAGUCUGGGGCUCAACCCCAGAUCGGCCAUGGCAACUGUGUCGCUAGGGCACCGUAGAGGCAGAUGGAAUUCCGGGUGUAGCGGUGGAAUGCGUAGAGAUCCGGAAGAACACCAGGGGCGAAGGCGGUCUGCUGGGCGGUGAACCCGCAAGGGUUCAAUAGCCGACACUGAGGCGCGACAGCGUGGGGAGCAAACAGG
Molecule: ribosomal RNA, 272 nt
Filed under: uncultured prokaryote
Description: partial 16S ribosomal RNA
Rfam family: Bacterial small subunit ribosomal RNA
Source: RNAcentral